RNAcentral lists this transfer RNA (37 nucleotides) under Erysimum cheiri. Its description in RNAcentral is "partial tRNA-His". The record is from RNAcentral. Lineage: Eukaryota; Viridiplantae; Streptophyta; Magnoliopsida; Brassicales; Brassicaceae.
GGCGGAUGUAGCCAAGUGGAUUAAGGCAGUGNAUUUG